UAGUGGUGUUGUACUUAAGUAAAAACUAAAGAACAGUAAAAGAACUUUGCCCCCUUGAAGUAUAGGUAUACUCAUGCAGGUAUAGUAUGUGAAGUGAGCUAUAGCAGUCAGAUAGCAGUCGCGACUCGCGUUCGGAGCAGUGAUAAUAUUGAGAUUGAUAUAUAGUAAUUGGUGCAGUUUGCAGUAGUGCAACCCCGUUGUCAUCCUCGAGGUCCGCAUGAGGAAGUUCAUAAACACCCUAUAAUCAUCAGGAGUUGUGCGUUGUCGCCUUUUUCUGUAAUACUGUAGGACGAGCAAAAAAAAUCAAGCAAUCUAACCCACGACGCCCGAGACAUCGUUUGUUCAUCACACGCUCCGGGAGCAUUUAUGGCCACCAUCACCGAGGAGCCCGAGCUAAUCGAGCAACAGUUGGACAGCGGCAUGGGUAGCAGCGAUGCACGAUCACCAGAGGUUAAGUGCCUGCUACCAGAAGAGGACGAAGCCGAUGAAGAGGACGAGACUGUUUUGGAGAGGCUUGUUGGACUCACUGAAAUGUUCCCGGAUGGAGUCAGGAAUUUCAGCUGUCGCGCGGCAGGCUUCAUGAAAAAUUUCGUGAAAGGCUUUUAUUCUUUUUCGUGUAAUACGACGUGGAUAUUCUUCAGUUCUUCAGCAAUUUUGAUUGCUCCUUUAAUUUUUGAAAUUGAAAGAGCACAAAUGGAAGAAGCACAACGCCUCCAACAGAAACAAGUGUUAUUUGGACCAAAUACACCAAUGCCAGGUGGUGAUGCUGGUGGUUUCCCAAUGCCUCCUCCAAUUCAGAGAUAAUUUGACGUUAUUACAAAAAACUUGAAAAAGUUAUUUCACAAAACACUGGAUUGUCAUAAUAAAACGAGCACAUUCUACUACUCUCUUGGAUACCUUCAGUGUUAGGUACCUCCAACACUUCAUCAUGUUCAGUUAUCA
RNAcentral lists this unclassified non-coding RNA (942 nucleotides) under Copidosoma floridanum. Its description in RNAcentral is "mitochondrial import receptor subunit TOM22 homolog, transcript variant X1". Lineage: Eukaryota; Metazoa; Arthropoda; Insecta; Hymenoptera; Encyrtidae. The record is from RNAcentral.